This 67-nucleotide small nucleolar RNA is filed under the name Phalacrocorax carbo (great cormorant). RNAcentral describes it as "Small nucleolar RNA SNORD58". It matches the Rfam family "Small nucleolar RNA SNORD58". Rfam says of the family: snoRNA U58 is found in introns 1, 3 and 6 of the ribosomal protein RPL17 gene in humans. The record is from Rfam by way of RNAcentral. Lineage: Eukaryota; Metazoa; Chordata; Aves; Suliformes; Phalacrocoracidae.
UUGCUGUGAUGACUGUCUUAGGACACCUUUGGAACACCCAUGAAAAAAAAAGCUACUUCUGAGCAAC